CAGCCGCCGCGGUAAUACGAGGGGGGCAAGCGUUGUUCGGAGUUAUUGGGCGUAAAGGGCGCGUGGGCGGUUUGACAAGUCUUAUGUGAAAUCUUCGGGCUCAACUCGAAGUCUGCAUGGGAAACUGUCGGGCUUGAGUAUGGGAGAGGUAAGUGGAAUUUCCGGUGUAGCGGUGAAAUGCGUAGAUAUCGGAAGGAACACCUGUGGCGAAAGCGGCUCACUGGACCGUAACUGACGCUGAGGCGCGAAAGCUAGGGGAGCAAACAGGAUUAGAUACCCCCGUAGUCCCUGUCUCUUUACC
RNAcentral lists this ribosomal RNA (301 nucleotides) under uncultured bacterium. RNAcentral's name for it is "partial 16S ribosomal RNA". It matches the Rfam family "Bacterial small subunit ribosomal RNA", at positions 509 to 808 of the family's 1533-position model. The record is from RNAcentral.